Molecule: ribosomal RNA, 254 nt
Filed under: uncultured bacterium
Lineage: Bacteria
Description: partial 16S ribosomal RNA
Rfam family: Bacterial small subunit ribosomal RNA
Source: RNAcentral
UACGGAAUGUGCAAACGUUAUUCGGAAUCACUGGGCUUAAAGAGUCCGUAGGCGGCAUGUUAGGUGAGGUGUGAAAUCCCCCCGGCUCAACCGAGGAAUUGCGCUUCAAACCGGCGUGCUUGAGGAAGAUAGAGGUGGGCGGAACUGAUGGUGGAGCGGUGAAAUGCGUUGAUAUCAUCAGGAACACCGGUGGCGAAGGCGGCUAUCUGGACCGACAUUGACGCUGAGGCGCGAAAGCGUGGGGAGCAAACAGG